AGCCAUGCAUGUCUAAGUAUAAAUAACUACACAGUGAAACUGCGAAUGGCUCAUUAAAACAGUUAUAGUUUAUUUGAUACAAGAAAUGGAUAACUGUAGAAAAACUAGAGCUAAUACAUGCCGUAACCGCAAGGUUGUAUUUAUUAGAUAUACCCAGUAGGUGAUUCAUAAUAACUAUGCAAAUCGAGGCUCUGCCUCGAUACAUCACUCAAGUUUCUGCCCUAUCAGCUUUCGAUGGUAGUGUAUUGGACUACCAUGGCUUUCACGGGUAACGGAGAAUUAGGGUUCGAUUCCGGAGAAGGAGCCUGAGAAACGGCUACUACAUCUAAGGAAGGCAGCAGGCGCGUAAAUUACCCAAUCCUGACUCAGGGAGGUAGUGACAAGAUAUAACAACGCUAUUUUAUAUAGCGAUUGUAGUGAGGGUUUUCUAAAAAGAACUUCGAGUACGAUUGGAGGGCAAGUCUGGUGCCAGCAGCCGCGGUAAUUCCAGCUCCAAUAGCGUAUAUUAAAGUUGUUGCAGUUAAAAAGCUCGUAGUUGGAUUUCAAAGUGGAGGUGAGGAAACUCGCCGAAACUUAUCAGUCCUAUCGGACUGUUACUGUGAGAAAAUUAGAGUGUUUAAAGCAGGCCAUUGCAGGAAUACAUUAGCAUGGAAUAACGAGUGUGUCUAGAAUCUUGGUUAAUUCUAGAAAACGAUUAAUAGGGACAGUUGGGGGCAUUAGUAUUUAAUUGUCAGAGGUGAAAUUCUUGGAUUUAUUAAAGACUAACAUAUGCGAAAGCAUUUGCCAAGGAUGUUUUCAUUAAUCAAGAACGAAAGAUUGGGGAUCAAAGACGAUCAGAU
Molecule: ribosomal RNA, 839 nt
Filed under: uncultured alveolate
Lineage: Eukaryota
Description: SSU rRNA
Rfam family: Eukaryotic small subunit ribosomal RNA
Source: RNAcentral